UACGUAGGGGCCGAGCGUUGUCCGGAGUUAUUGGGCGUAAAGCGCGCGCAGGCGGCUUCGCGCGCCCGACGUGAAAGCCCCCGGCUUAACCGGGGAGAGUCGUUGGGGACGGCGGAGCUUGAGGGCGGGAGAGGUCGGUGGAAUUCCCGGUGUAGUGGUGAAAUGCGUAGAGAUCGGGAGGAACACCUGUGGCGAAGGCGGCCGACUGGGCCGACCCUGACGCUGAGGCGCGAAGGCGUGGGGAGCGAACGGG
Molecule: ribosomal RNA, 253 nt
Filed under: uncultured bacterium
Lineage: Bacteria
Description: partial 16S ribosomal RNA
Rfam family: Bacterial small subunit ribosomal RNA
Source: RNAcentral